UGCAUAUCAAUAAGCGGAGGAAAAGCCGUCUUGAAACACGGACCAUGCAUAUCAAUAAGCGGAGGAAAAGAAACCAACAGGGAUUGCCUCAGUAGCGGCGAGUGAAGCGGCAAGAGCUCAGAUUUGAAAUCGUGCUUUGCGGCACGAGUUGUAGAUUGCAGGUUGGAGUCUGUGUGGAAGGCGGUGUCCAAGUCCCUUGGAACAUGGCGCCCAGGAGGGUGAGAGCCCCGUGGGAUGCCGGCGGAAGCAGUGGGGCCCUUCUGACGAGUCGAGUUGUUUGGGAAUA
RNAcentral lists this ribosomal RNA (286 nucleotides) under uncultured Pichia. RNAcentral describes it as "partial 26S ribosomal RNA". It matches the Rfam family "Eukaryotic large subunit ribosomal RNA", at positions 1 to 282 of the family's 3401-position model. Lineage: Eukaryota; Fungi; Ascomycota; Saccharomycetes; Saccharomycetales; Saccharomycetaceae. The record is from RNAcentral.